RNAcentral lists this ribosomal RNA (450 nucleotides) under uncultured bacterium. RNAcentral describes it as "bacterial SSU rRNA". It matches the Rfam family "Bacterial small subunit ribosomal RNA", at positions 354 to 796 of the family's 1533-position model. The record is from RNAcentral.
GUGGGGAAUAUUGGACAAUGGGCGAAAGCCUGAUCCAGCCAUGCCACGUGUGUGAAGAAGGUCUUCGGAUUGUAAAGCACUUUAAGUUGGGAGGAAGGGCAGUAAGUUAAUACCUUGCUGUUUUGACGUUACCGACAGAAUAAGCACCGGCUAACUUCGUGCCAGCAGCCGCGGUAAUACGAAGGGUGCAAGCGUUAAUCGGAAUUACUGGGCGUAAAGCGCGCGUAGGUGGUUUUGUAAGUUGGAGGUGAAAUCCCCGGGCUCAACCUGGGAACUGCCUCCAAAACUGCAUGACUAGAGUACGGUAGAGGGUAGUGGAAUUUCCUGUGUAGCGGUGAAAUGCGUAGAUAUAGGAAGGAACACCAGUGGCGAAGGCGACUACCUGGACUGAUACUGACACUGAGGUGCGAAAGCGUGGGGAGCAAACAGGAUUAGAUACCCCGGUAGUCC